This 253-nucleotide ribosomal RNA is filed under the name uncultured bacterium. RNAcentral's name for it is "partial 16S ribosomal RNA". It matches the Rfam family "Bacterial small subunit ribosomal RNA", at positions 524 to 776 of the family's 1533-position model. The record is from RNAcentral.
UACGGAGGGUGCAAGCGUUAUCCGGAUUCACUGGGCUUAAAGGGUGCGUAGGUGGGCAAGUAAGUCAGUGGUGAAAUCUCCGGGCUUAACCCGGAAACUGCCAUUGAUACUAUUUGUCUUGAAUACUGUGGAGGUCAGCGGAAUAUGUCAUGUAGCGGUGAAAUGCUUAGAUAUGACAUAGAACACCAAUUGCGAAGGCAGCUGGCUACACAAAUAUUGACACUGAGGCACGAAAGCGUGGGGAGCAAACAGG